Long non-coding RNA from Homalodisca vitripennis (glassy-winged sharpshooter), 719 nucleotides. RefSeq lists it as uncharacterized. NCBI's taxonomy places the organism in Eukaryota, Metazoa, Arthropoda, Insecta, Hemiptera, Cicadellidae. The transcript has 2 exons. The record is from RefSeq and is a predicted model, not a curated record.
UGGUAAAAUUGCCCUUUAACAAUGCAAAUAUGAUUUAGUAAGAUUACUCUCACUUUUCUAUAAAAUACACUUUACUCUAAAAAGUGCGCUUCUCAUUUAAAUAAAUGAUUGACGUUUUGUUUUGUGUAAGAGGAAAGUUAGUGCCUAACUAAAGAUUGUAUAGACAUAAAGAAGGAUAAACAUAGAAACAAAAAUAAAAAUUUGGAUCAAACAACAGCAGGUGUAUCAGUAAUGGUUUGCCAAAGUCAAGAAGUUGUUAUGUCAAGAACUAUGUUACUCUUUUUUAUUUAAUUUGUUCAUUGACUAGAGUCAAUAUUUUAUUUUGAGUCAAAUAGUUAAUUAGGACUGAUAAUCCAUCGCGCGAUGGUCCAAACUGUAAUUGUAAUCUUAGCACUCUCUGAUUGGUAGAGUAAGGUCAAUUAAUCGGUAUAUAAGCCGCCGCUCUGUCUGCUGCAGUAUCAGAUAUUUCCUCAGCGAAACAUCCGACUCUUACUAACAUGGGCAAGGAAAGGACCAGCGUCAACAUGGCCGUCGUCGGCUACUACUAGACCUACCAUCAGCAGAUGGACGGCUAGUACAACACGGAUAUGACCCGGCUUCUGUACACGGACACGCUCUGGACACGGACAACACGAUGGUAGCUCUCCCGGACUAUACCUCAACCUAAUUGGCAAUAUUGUCUGUACAUAAUGAGUAAAUACAUAUAAAUUUCAGUUAAA